GACGGAGGGUGCUAGCGUUGUUCGGAAUCACUGGGCGUAAAGAGCUCGUAGGCGGUCUGUCGCGUCGGUCGUGAAAACUUGGGGCUUAACCCCGAGCUUGCGGUCGAUACGGGCAUGACUGGAGUUCGGCAGGGGAGACUGGAAUUCCUGGUGUAGCGGUGAAAUGCGCAGAUAUCAGGAGGAACACCGGUGGCGAAGGCGGGUCUCUGGGCCGAUACUGACGCUGAGGAGCGAAAGCGUGGGGAGCAAACAGG
This 254-nucleotide ribosomal RNA is filed under the name uncultured bacterium. RNAcentral's name for it is "partial 16S ribosomal RNA". It matches the Rfam family "Bacterial small subunit ribosomal RNA", at positions 524 to 776 of the family's 1533-position model. The record is from RNAcentral.